UACGUAGGGAGCGAGCGUUGUCCGGAAUCACUGGGCGUAAAGGGCGCGUAGGCGGUUAUUUAAGUCAGAUGUGAAAAACCGAGGCUCAACCUCGGCCUUGCAUUUGAAACUGGAUAACUUGAGGAUGAGAGAGGAAAGUGGAAUUCCUAGUGUAGCGGUGAAAUGCGUAGAUAUUAGGAGGAACACCAGUGGCGAAGGCGACUUUCUGGCUCAUACCUGACGCUGAGGCGCGAAAGCGUGGGGAGCAAACAGG
Molecule: ribosomal RNA, 253 nt
Filed under: uncultured bacterium
Lineage: Bacteria
Description: partial 16S ribosomal RNA
Rfam family: Bacterial small subunit ribosomal RNA
Source: RNAcentral